UACGAAGGGGGCUAGCGUUGUUCGGAAUUACUGGGCGUAAAGCGUGCGCAGGCGGCCUUCCAAGUCAGGGGUCGAAAGCCCAGAGCUCAACUCUGGAAUUGCCUUUGAGACUGUGAGGCUUGAGUACGGGAGAGGUGAGUGGAAUUCCCAGUGUAGAGGUGAAAUUCGUAGAUAUUGGGAAGAACACCGGUGGCGAAGGCGGCUCACUGGCCCGAAACUGACGCUCAUGUACGACAGCGUGGGGAUCAAACAGG
Molecule: ribosomal RNA, 254 nt
Filed under: uncultured bacterium
Lineage: Bacteria
Description: partial 16S ribosomal RNA
Rfam family: Bacterial small subunit ribosomal RNA
Source: RNAcentral